CUUCAGGAUUUCUUAAAAUCCCCAACAGAUUCCUUAAAACAAACUGU
Molecule: non-coding RNA, 47 nt
Organism: Xiphophorus maculatus (southern platyfish)
Lineage: Eukaryota; Metazoa; Chordata; Actinopteri; Cyprinodontiformes; Poeciliidae
Source: Rfam